RNAcentral lists this ribosomal RNA (243 nucleotides) under uncultured bacterium. RNAcentral describes it as "partial 16S ribosomal RNA". It matches the Rfam family "Bacterial small subunit ribosomal RNA", at positions 91 to 334 of the family's 1533-position model. The record is from RNAcentral.
CGGACCGGCGCACGGUGAGUAACGCGUAUGCAACUUACCUAUCAGAGGGGGAUAACCCGGCGAAAGUCGGACUAAUACCGCAUAAAGCAGGGAUCCCGCAUGGGAAUAUUUGCUAAAGAUUCAUCGCUGAUAGAUAGGCAUGCGUUCCAUUAGGCAGUUGGCGGGGUAACGGCCCACCAAACCGACGAUGGAUAGGGGUUCUGAGAGGAAGGUCCCCCACAUUGGUACUGAGACACGGACCAA